Molecule: long non-coding RNA, 2826 nt
Organism: Gasterosteus aculeatus aculeatus (three-spined stickleback)
Lineage: Eukaryota; Metazoa; Chordata; Actinopteri; Perciformes; Gasterosteidae
Source: Ensembl
GACCAUGAGUUCAGCAUUUUUGACAACGAGUUGUUCGGUCUCUCUGACCUUCAGAGAUAAACCCUCGUUCUCCCUGAUAAGGUCUGAAAACCUCUUUCGGUUCUUGUCAACCAUCUGCUCAUAGGCAAGAUCUUUGCCUUUUAACAUGUUGGUCAAUUCGAACUUCACAGUUUCAGUGUGAGCGGUGAGUUCGCUCACUUGCCUUUUCAGGCAGUGCACUUCAUUCUGUGCACGAGAAAGUGCAAUGUUCACAUUGUAUCCGGUGGGAGGAGUCGGAAGAAGUGGAGCGCUAGCUCCACUUCUCUGGUUGUUUCUACGGUACAUGUUAAAUGACACUUGUGUAGUCUUGAAAAAGACUGUUGGUCAGCCCUGAAAAGGGGUGUAGUCUUGAAAAAGACUGUUUUAUUUGUCGCUAAAUGACUCGAUGUAACCUCUGAAAGAUGGUGAUGAAUCUUCCAAAAAACUACUUAAGUCUGUAAAGGACAAAUAUCGCAGAUACUUUCAAGAGAAAAUAUCCAACUGCACUCUUCUGGAACCAGAAACGCAAUGAUCUAGUGUUCCGAGACACAUCAAAGGAUUUCUUGAUGAUGUCACAGUUCCGUUGUCAGGGAAACGCAGCCCGUGUCAUAGAGUGAUGAUGUCACAGUUCCGUUGUCAGGGAAACGCAGCCCGUGUCAUAGAGUGGACUCCAUAACAACGGAAUGGAGUCCACUCUAUGACACGGACUGCGUUUCCCUGACAACGCACCCCGUGUCAUAGAGUGGACUCCAUAACAAAUGAAUGGAGUCCACUCUAUGACACGGACUGCGUUGUCAGGGAAACGCAGCCCGUGUCAUAGAGUGGACUCCAUAACAACGGAAUGGAGUCCACUCUAUGACACGGACUGCGUUUCCCUGACAACGGAAUGCAAAAUACAACAAAACUCACUUUGUGUGGUUUUUAUAUAUACACAACUUGAUGAUGCCGAUAUAUAAAGUCUCAUUCACCUCUGUUUCUUCCUGCACCGUGAUGCCCAUUUCUGAACCACGUUUUGGAUGAAGAAGCACUGAUAUUGAGUGAUACAGAUCAGACCAGCGUGAAGCACCUCCCCAUCCCUUACACAUGCCCCGUAUGGCGCGGCAUGUCUUUAUAUGCCGAACCUGAAAAUAAAGGCACUAUUUGCCGUACUGUCAAAAGUGUGUGUUUGGCGCUGAAGUCCAUCUUUAUUACCUUCCCUGGCCCCAGAAGAAUGUGUCACAUCAAAGAAGAUUUCCACAAGACGGUCCACAUAUUCUGUGUAAAUGGGUGAUUGUGUUUGAUGUUGUGAGAUGCAUGUAAUGGUAAAAUAUGUUAAAACAUUGUCUUGUGCUAAACCCGGGUCUCAAGUGUCCGUAUUUGACCCUGACGUGCAAAGAGCAGCAUGAUACAAAAUGUUAGUUUGCAGCUGUGUCCGUCACAGCUGCACAAAACCAGCACAGUUAGCACAUAAACACAUAUAUAACACCAACACAUUGAAAAAUCAUAUUAAAAGCCAAUUAAACAGUCUACAACUUUCCUAGCAAGUACAUGUUUUUAAAUCCUUUCGCAUUCAGUCGGUCCACGAUUGUUUGCCUGGCUUUUUCUCUUUGUUUAAUUACAGCUGCAGCUCUUUAUUUUCUUCCUUCUUGGCUUCAGGUGCAGUCAGGAUGCGAAGCUCAACAUAUCUUGUCAGAAUUUGCUAGUUGCCACGUUCAGAACCAUUGUUCUCGAGUUGGCUGGUGGAGGCGACAGACGGGCACUAGGGAUGGUCAAAGGACUGACCUGGGGCCUGUUGGCUGCUGAGACCAGCGGCUCCUCAGCUGAGAUGUUCUUUUUACCACAACGCCAUCUCCUUUAUUAAAUACAUUUGAUUUUAACCUUUUGAUCAGCGAUGACCUCUGUCCGUCCGGCGUUUCUUCAUUUUUGAACACAACAGGCCGAAGUUUGUUCCUUUUCAAACUCCCCGACGAUAGAAGGCGCUAAGGAGCGCGUCUAUAACCCUAUUUGCUGCACAGACAUCCUGUUUACCCCAAAGAGUCCCCAAGUUAUCAACAGAAGAAGGUUUUCAAACAGACACAACAUGUGGUUCAAUUAAGUACUCACUCUCUGGAAUCUGGAAAGAAAUGAUUAGUUGUGUUUGUGCGUGUGAUUUGGAGUGGUGAACUCAGCUGUCAACAAGCAGCAGGAGAGCACCUUGUUAACCUCUUGGUGUACUGCAUGCUCAAAACAUCGUAGCGUUAUUCAUUACAGUUUUUUACGACUGGAUAAACACUAAAAUCAAAAGUAUUACACAAUUAUCAAAACCUUCACUCAAGGAGCAAAACCACGGCUCAGAUUUGCACCACUAUAAGCACAUGUCAAGCAGAAGCAGAAGCAGAAGGAGGCCGAGGCCGUGCCAGAGGCCGAGGUGGAGGUAGAGGCUGAGGUGGAGGUGGAGGAAGACCUGAAGCAGAGAGGCUCAAAGAAGAGGACCAAAUUUGUCAGAUGAAAUGAUGUCGUCGUGGCGCAGGGAUUAGAGAAGGUGUACAGGGAAGCACAAGGUUGGUGGUUCUAGUCCAGGCUGCCCCAUGUUCCAUGUCGAAGUGUCCCUGAGCAAGACACCAAACCCCUAAUUGCUCCCCAGGCAAAACGUGAAAAAACCAUGUGUUUAAAGUGUUGGAUAAAAGCGUCUGCUAAAAUGACCUGUAAUGUAAUGUUUAGAUUAUCAUUUGUUUUUUUAUUAUUUCCCUUUUUGUUUCAUUAGUAUUAUUAGUGGAUCAAAUAUGAAUAACCAUCAAGUAUUAGUUGAUUUAUAUUUUGUAUCAUAAAGCUGAAAAGUAAAGAAGUUUA